Molecule: long non-coding RNA, 4874 nt
Filed under: Sus scrofa (pig)
Lineage: Eukaryota; Metazoa; Chordata; Mammalia; Artiodactyla; Suidae
Description: lncRNA (ENSSSCG00000050167.1)
Source: RNAcentral
GACAGAAGCAUGUCUGUUCUACCCUAGCUCCAAAGACUGAUGGUACAGUCCCCCUGGGGAAAGAAAUUACUAGCAAAUGCAGAAUACACUGUUUUCCUAUGUAACCCAAGUGGAACGGUAGAGGGGGCAUUCCACCCAGUGACAGACUUGAAUAUUCUUCCUCUAAGACAUCUCGAAGGAUUGUUGCUACUGUCUCAUUAGAAGCACCUAUAACCAAAGUAGUGAUGAAGCACUGCCCUCAGGUGAUUUCUAGAGCUCAUCUGUAGGGGUGGUGGUGAUGGUGAUGGUGGUGUCUGUAUUGGAAGAGGAAGCUGUGGGCAUCUAUGAUGACACAUUUGUAAGAGCUCAUGCAACACCACUUAAAAACAUCUAAUUAGAUCAAAGUUCCUAGGAUGCUGCAUAAAAAUAUGGAGUCAAGUGUAAGUGAUACUGUGUGUAUUUCUAUUAAUAUGCCCUUUCUGUACCAGGUUCUAGAAGCAUACUGUUAUCUCCAUUUCAGUAGUUAAGAAACUGAGGCUUAGCAGUUAAGUAAUGUGUUUACUGUAUUAAAACAAGAAGUGUUAAUGCCAGGAUUUAAACCCAUGUUUAUAUGCCUCCAAAGCAUAUUUGUGUUUCCACUAUGCUGUACAAGCUCAUUACGCUCCUCUGACAGUACAAUCUCAGAGGCAGCUGAAAUAAGAACCUUAAAAAGUCAGGUCAUGUGCCAGAUGUUACACAUUUGAACUUGGGAAAUAAUGGCCAAAUCAACUAGAAGAGUUAAUAGAUCCUGAAAAACAGCAGUUCUAGGUAGAGAUCAACAUCAUCUCUGGUUAUGGGAGGAGGAAUUCUUUGUUUAAGCAAAACUUAAAUAUGAAUAAGUUUACUGAUGGUUGUUCUUAUGAUCAAGUGUGAGGCAUUACGUGUGUUAGGGUGGGCACUCGUUCACCAGUGGUUGUUAUCUUGCCAGGUUGUUUAACUUGCCUAAAAUCCAUUUUCUCUCUAUAAGAUGAAGAAUAUGAAAGCAUCUGUUUUGUAGGAUUAUUGUUAACUUACGUGGAGAGGGUAAUGUAGAGAACAGACACAGCUCCCAGUAGACAGCCAACACCAAACACUGGAUAUGAGUGAAGAAGCUUUGAGACAGUUCCAGCUCCUAGUCUUCCAUGGGAGGCUCUAGAUGUCGGAGCAGAGACCAGCUGUCCCUACUGUGCCUCAUCCAAAUUCCUGACCAACAGUAUCAGUGAGCAUGACUCAUUACCAUUCCCUGCCACUGAAUUUGGGGGUAAUUUGUUAUGCAUCCAUAGCAACUGGAACAAAUUUUGAUAGCAUAUAAAUAAUACAAAAGAAAAAUAAGAUAGCCAGGGAAUUUAUAUAACUCAUUUCCUGUUCAUUAAUUAAUAUGCAUUGCUAGACCAAGUGGACUCAGUCAAGAGUCAGUUCUGGAAUCUAACAAUUUAGUAACCGGAUUGUUAGGAAAAUACAACCAAACCAUAGAGGCACAAUGAUACUUUAUAUCAACAGAUUAAACAUGGUUCCUAGUCCCUUUUAGCUUUUGACAGAGGAAACAAACUUCUGUUCACUGACCUCUAACAAAUGUUUUAGCUGAGUGCUCACUGAUUUAUGUUUAACUAAAGUUCUCUUCAGGAAUGAGGAAAUUCUAACAGGUAGCUCAGGGGUGGCUAACCUUAGCUCUUGUAAUAAUAAUAAAACUUUAUAGAUGGUCUAAUGUUAGAUUUUUAUAUCCUUAAUCUCGUGGGGUUUAUAAAUGCAUUUGUAUAGGCUUAGCAUAGAGGCAUAUAGUAGUCAUAGAAUAUAAUGUGUGUGUUUGCUUCUGCUUGCAGCUGUCCAGAUAUAUGAGUGUAUGCAUACCAAAGAUAAAUAUGUGUAACAGGAUGAAACAAAGAAACCAGUGACCACUUUUGGCUUCCAUUCCUUGUAUUAAGACAUACAGUUCUGGGAUAGAACCCCAAGAGGAUUUGCCCAGAUGUUAUAUGGAUACAUGGCAACCAUCUCACUCUUGGAGAAAUAAAUACCAUAAAAGGGUUGGGCAGGCAUGGAAAGACAUUAUAUAACUGCCAAGAAUGUUAAAGGUCUAAGAUUUUACUCUACUCGCAGGCUAACCAUUUAGCCUGCAUGGUUUCAAGGGUGCCAGUAGAGUUGAAACUGAGUCAUAGGCAAAGGAGAGUGUGUUACUUACAGCAACGGCAGUAGCCAAAGAAUCAGCAUUUUUUGGGCCAGUUCCCAAGCCUCCUGGCCACUUCCCAGUUCUCAUGGGGUGUCUUGAAGAGGGCAGACGAUAGAUGCAAAUGUAGUCAGUUUGCUACAGGAGAAGAACAGUAUUUGUUAGGGAACCUGAAUCUUGUAUAAUAUGCAGUCAGCAUGCUUGAUGUUUGCUUUUGAGAGAGAGACAUUUUCUUUAUUAUACUGGACAGUAAGAAUGUCUACCCUUUGCUUCACAAGGAAAUGCUAUCUCUAUCUUCCAAGGCAGUAAGCAAACUUGAUCUUUGUAUUUUAAGGCUGCAUAUAAAUAUCCUUGAAAAGGUAGUUCAGAACAAAAGGCAGUCAGUAUCUCUGCAAACUGAUGUGCAGAAAUAUUAAGAUUCAAGGAAAAUUAUACCCCAAUAAUAACCCCCAGUCUUCAAAGAUCCAAAGAAAUUACAAAACAACUCAUGGUUUGACCAGGGAUCAAAGGUCAAUGACAUCUGUAUGCAUUAGGCCAGAUAGAAAUAAAUGUAUAUCAUAAUUUGGAUUUGCAUAUUUUCCCUUUGGGACUAUACUCUAAGGUGGUCCCCAUCACUGGGAUAGCAAAGACGACCUUAAAAAAAUUCAGUUUCUCUCCAGUUCAAGUCUAUCUUUUUAUAUUGGUUUAGGGACCAGAUGGGUAUGGAGACUCUGAGCCUCAUAAUUCACAAUGACACUGUGAAAUAAACAGAGUAGGUAUUUAUUCCUUCCAGCUGAUGGAAGAGGAAAUUACUCCAUGGCUGGUAGAGAACACCGAGUGACAGGUUGGUAGUGGCAAAUGCAGAAAGAUAGUAAGAAAAGAUGAGUUUCUGAGACUAGCCUAAAAGGAUAAAGGGGCCCUGCUGGGGCCCAGCUGCUGUGGGUUAGAGAGGGUGUUAAUCACACACUGCUUUCAAAUCCAUCUCCACCCUUUCAUUGAUCUGCUGUACUAAUUGGCAGCACCCUUUGUGGAAAAACAAGCAAACAAACAAACAAACAAGCUUGACGUACUGCUUAUUGGCUUAGGGAGAUGCCAAGAAAUAUUUGUCUGUUUUGUUUUUUGUAUUUUGGUCUGAGCUCUCACUGGGAAACAAAAUAAAGCCUUUUGAUAAAUUAAUAUCCAAAUUAUACCAUCUCUGUGGUCCAAAAUCACAUGUAAAAAUUUCAUAUAAAUUGAUCUCUAGAUAGUGAGUUACCAGGGACUUCUGGAGAAGCAAAGGUAAAGCCACUCUGAAGGAUCACUUUCACAGCCCAGGUUGCAAAGAAUUCCUAAAGAUUUUAAUUCAAGAUGAGCUCAUGGUACAAAAUUAUAAAAUAGGCAAGUUAAGAAUUCACCAUAAGCAGUAACUUGAGAUCAUAGAGUAUUGUGAUAGAGACAAUAAUACAAUUUUGCUUCACAUAAUUAGAUAGAAUAAAUAGAACCUAUAAAGAAAGAAUAAGAUAAAAUGAAAAAUGUAUAGGGAAACUUGAAUAAACAACCAAAUAGUUGACUUCUGCUGCUGGACAAGAUAGAAUAGCCUUUUUCUUAGUGAUCAUUGCAAUACUCUGGACAAAGCUCAAAAAAACAAGUAGCUAAGAAUCCUGAGAACUUCAUAAAAGUAGACAGAUUGGGGGAGGGGUCAAAGUUUGAAGAAGUAAAUAUCUGACUUCUUCCUCUUAAGGUCUUGAUCUUGCAUUGAGAUGGGGCCCCAGUUACGGAGCCAUAGCUCCUUCUUAAAUGCUAAGGUAAACUACAUCUUUCUGGCCAGCAGUUCAGAAAGAGGGGCACCAGAGGGUGUAUGGGGAUGUCAUAGGAGAGAGCUGGAGAAAGAGACCUUUAAUUAUGUGUUUGAACCAGAACAAAUCCCAGGCUUGUCCUGGACCUGUGCAAACUUGGGGAAGACCCAAAGCAGCAUGACAAAGGCUUUGCAAACUGAACUGACAGUGGAGCCAUUGCCCACGAGUGAGGCAGACUUGCCUUCUACACCUAACUGGGUUGAUUGUCUGUGAAAAUAAAUUUUAGGGCUUUAGCAGGACCUAACAUCUUACAAUGUAACUUAAGAUUUGCAACACACAAUUAAAAAUUGUACAAUAUACCAAGAAGAAAUAAAGCGGACCCAGGAAAAUGUGACCAAUUCUCAAAAGAAAAAUACAAUAACUCAAAACCCCAAGACGACCCAGAGUUUAGAGAUCAAAGAUUCUAAACCAGCUAUUAAUAUGCUCUAUAUCAAGAUAGAAACACUCAGUGAAUGUAAAGAUGGAAGUUCUGUGCAAAGAAAUAGGAAAAUAUAAAAAAAGAGAACCAAGUAGAAAUUUUAGAGCUGAAAUAUAAUAUCAGAAAUUUUAGAAAAAUUCCAUGGAUGGGCUCAGUAGCAGAAUGCAGAUGAACAGAGUCAGUGAACUUAAAAAUAGGUCAUUAGUAAUUAUGUAAUCUUAAUAGAGCAAAAUUUAUAUAUAUAUAUAUAUAAAAUGAAUAGAGUCUUAGGAACCUUGGAAACAAUAACAGUAUGUCUAACAUUUUUGUCAUUUGAGUUCCAGAAGGAAAGAGAUUGGUGCAGAAAAAAUAUUGAAUAUAUAAUGAAUGAAACCUCCCCAAAUUUGAGAGACACAAAUUUAUAUAGACUUAAGAAGCUUAGCAAAACUCAAGCAGGAUAAAUUCAAAGAAAAAUAAGCUCAGAUACAUCAUAAUCAAAUCACUG